Molecule: ribosomal RNA, 772 nt
Filed under: uncultured bacterium
Lineage: Bacteria
Description: bacterial SSU rRNA
Rfam family: Bacterial small subunit ribosomal RNA
Source: RNAcentral
CAAGUCGAACGCUUUGUCUUUAACUGAUAUGAAGAGCUUGCUCUGAUUUGAUUCCAUCUGACAAAGAGUGGCGAACGGGUGAGUAACACGUGGGUAACCUACCUCUUAGCAGGGGAUAACAUUUGGAAACAAGUGCUAAUACCGUAUAAUACCAACAACCGCAUGGUUGUUGGUUGAAAGAUGGUUCUGCUAUCACUAAGAGAUGGACCCGCGGUGCAUUAGCUAGUUGGUAAGGUAACGGCUUACCAAGGCAAUGAUGCAUAGCCGAGUUGAGAGACUGAUCGGCCACAAUGGGACUGAGACACGGCCCAUACUCCUACGGGAGGCAGCAGUAGGGAAUCUUCCACAAUGGGCGCAAGCCUGAUGGAGCAACGCCGCGUGUGUGAUGAAGGGUUUCGGCUCGUAAAACACUGUUAUAAGAGAAGAACGGCACUGAGAGUAACUGUUCAGUGUGUGACGGUAUCUUACCAGAAAGGAACGGCUAAAUACGUGCCAGCAGCCGCGGUAAUACGUAUGUUCCAAGCGUUAUCCGGAUUUAUUGGGCGUAAAGCGAGCGCAGACGGUUAUUUAAGUCUGAAGUGAAAGCCCUCAGCUCAACUGAGGAAUGGCUUUGGAAACUGGAUGACUUGAGUGCAGUAGAGGAAAGUGGAACUCCAUGUGUAGCGGUGAAAUGCGUAGAUAUAUGGAAGAACACCAGUGGCGAAGGCGGCUUUCUGGACUGUAACUGACGUUGAGGCUCGAAAGUGUGGGUAGCAAACAGGAUUAGAUACCC